Long non-coding RNA from Nothoprocta perdicaria, 768 nucleotides. RefSeq lists it as uncharacterized. The record is from RefSeq and is a predicted model, not a curated record. The transcript is spliced from 4 exons. NCBI's taxonomy places the organism in Eukaryota, Metazoa, Chordata, Aves, Tinamiformes, Tinamidae.
AGAGGAUGGCUCUGGCAGCAUCUCAUGGGACUUUCCCUGCUCUCUCAAAGGGGCAGGUGGUCUGAUACAAAGCCUCCCUCUCUCCUCUGGCCAGUGACUCCCCGAGCCAGAGAGGAGCACAUUGGAGAGUGUCUAAGGCCAGUUCUCUGGAAUUCCCCUCAGCUGCUUUCUCAUUUUUAAUGUUCCCUUUCUACCAGAGGACAAGAUUCCUUCUCACUGGCCAAGGAAUAUAUUGAGCUGGUCCCUUCUGGCUUGUGGUACUGGAGAGCUCUCCUCAAGCCUUGGAUGGAUCAAAAACUUGACAGCAGCAGAGGAUGCUACUGAACCGAGGGUUCUUUAGGGAGGUUUUCCAUUCAUCUUCCCUGAAAUAAARAAGGAGCAACAUUUGAAUAGAUAUGUCAGGAACAUGCAACUGUAAGUAGAAAUGAGGAUGGAGAAAAGAGCUGGGUUGUGCCCUUCCUUACCCAUACGGUGACUUCUCUGCAUGAGGCCAUCCCUGCCUUYCAGCACGUGUUUCCCACCACUGUUUGAUUUGAUAUUCCAUAGCUUUUGUCUGUGGAUUCUUGUAAGGCAUCUACAUGGAAAUGCAAGGAAGCAGGAAAUGCUGAAAUGUGAACAGUGCCAUUGUCCACAGUGAACUAUUUCCCAAUGCCGAGUGCAGAGGAGACCAGAAACACAUGCAUGGCAUAGUUUUAAAUCAUUUCUCUCCGUAUUGUAGUAAUGGAAUUGCUUCCAAUGGGAAAAAAAAAAGCACAAUUCUUUAGUUUU